This 272-nucleotide unclassified non-coding RNA is filed under the name Hevea brasiliensis (rubber tree). The record is from RNAcentral. Lineage: Eukaryota; Viridiplantae; Streptophyta; Magnoliopsida; Malpighiales; Euphorbiaceae.
AAAUGUAUGCAUAUCCAAACAAGAUAGCAAGGGCUCCGAAUGGUGAGACAGAGAGGGUAUCCAUGGAAAGAUUAACCAUUCCAGUUAGCACGUUAGCCAGAAGAAAAGAGCCCAGUAGAUUUCGGUCGAAAUAUUCUAUCAAUGCGGCAACUUUGUAUCCAGGUACAUAAUCAGCUAGAGUUAAAACUGCAAAAACCUGAAGGUUCAUAGCCAAUACUACAGUAACAUAAGCCAGGUUGCACAUUCUGCGAGAAACCCUCUCAACAUGCCUA